RNAcentral lists this ribosomal RNA (397 nucleotides) under uncultured bacterium. Its description in RNAcentral is "partial 16S ribosomal RNA". It matches the Rfam family "Bacterial small subunit ribosomal RNA", at positions 523 to 918 of the family's 1533-position model. The record is from RNAcentral.
AUACGUAGGUGACAAGCGUUAUCCGGAUUUACUGGGCGUAAAGGGCGUGUAGGCGGUCUUGCAAGUCAGAAGUGAAAUUCCUGAGCUCAACUCGGGCGCUGCUUCUGAAACUGCAGGACUUGAGUGCUGGAGGGGAUAGCGGAAUUCCUAGUGGAGCGGUAAAAUGCGCAGAUAUUAGGAAGAACACCGGUGGCGAAGGCGGCUAUCUGGACAGUAACUGACGCUGAGGCGCGAAAGCGUGGGGAGCAAACAGGAUUAGAUGCCCUGGUAGUCCACGCCGUAAACGAUGAAUACUAGGUGUAGGGGGUAUCGACUCCCUCUGUGCCGCAGUUAACACAAUAAGUAUUCCGCCUGGGGAGUACGGCCGUAAGGUUGAAACUCAAAUGAAUUGACGGGG